UUGAUUCAAAUGCCAACCAUCUUUUCUCUUGGCCUUCGGUUUAGAGGUAAUAUUCAUUAACGUUUAGAAUUUACAAACGUAAGAUAACCUCAGACAUCUUGAAGUACAGAGUCACAGAAUGUCUAACUCCAAUGCAAUACUUUGUGAGCUUUUCAAGGAGAUUCACAGUUUUCAUAAGUCGUAGACUCUGUCAAUUGGUAAUAAACGAUUACAGACAUUGAUGCUAAAGGCCUUAACAAUUUAGUUGAAACAUUUUAAGAGACAUUACCAAAGAAUUAAAGAAUCACCCUUUGAAGUUAUUAAGCUACGCCUAGUAAUAGUGUAAUAAUUACGAAUGCUUCAAAAAGAAAGAUUGACGUGUGACAGGAAAAUUGUAUGUCCUAAAUUUCUACAGCAAAAGAUUGACGAGAAAAGCAUACAGAUAAUUAAUUUUAUCAUACCAAAGAUCUAUCUGGUUUGCUACGGUUUCUCAUUCAUUCAAUAUUAGUUUUGACAGAACACAGGAACUAUGUGUCCUAGUAAUGACAGAAGACGAUAUUAUUUUACCUUCAACAUCAACAAGUUGCUCUUUCACAGUAGUCUCGGGUUGCUCUGUCUUCAAUUUUUCUCCAUCAACCAUACCCCCACUGGAACCUAGAACAAGAAUAUAGACCAUUAGAUAUAGCCUUGUUACCUGAGACUAAAAUGAUGAAUAUAUGUAUAAUUUGAGCCGAUUAGAGCAAAAACCUUACUUACGUCUUACAGAAGAUCGCUUCAUCUUUAAUGUAUCGUGUAAAGACUGAUGCCAACUGAUUUUUUUCAGGUACCGAGAAUGGUUAUAUAGAGAAGAGAGCCGGUAAAUCAAAACACAGACUGAAUCUCAAUCUACUUAGCUGUUGCUGUGUGCCUAAUCUAGAUUUAUGAUCAACCGAUAUUGUGACACAGACUGAAUCUCAAUCUACCUAGCUGUUGCUGUGUGCCUAAUCUAGAAUUAUGGUCAACCAAUAUUGUGACACAGACUGAAUCUCAAUCUACCUAGCUGUUGCUGUGUGCCUAAUCUAGAAUUAUGGUCAACCAAUAUUGUGCUUUCAACUUGGCUGUCAGUAAAGAGCUUCUUCUCUUGGAAAAUCUUUUCCAGUUCUUUGGAGUCAGACUUUGUCUUCAGAAGCCACUGCUCCAGGAUAUCUAGCGGAUAGUUUAACAGUUUACACACGGCAAGCACGGUUUCCUGUUGCAUAGGA
Molecule: non-coding RNA, 1220 nt
Organism: Rhopilema esculentum
Lineage: Eukaryota; Metazoa; Cnidaria; Scyphozoa; Rhizostomeae; Rhizostomatidae
Source: RefSeq, a predicted model, not a curated record